UCACAUGGCCGAAUCCAAGUUCGUAACAUUGCUCGGCAUCCCUGACAUCUCUUCCUAUGUUUCCCGCUUUACGAUCGAAGUUGUCAGAGCCAGAUUCGAACGUCGAUCAUUGUGUUGUUUGAUCAGGGCCAUGCAAGUUUCCCAACAUUCGGAAUCUGAAAUGAUCUAAGUAGUUCGUGCAAGUGUAGGCUCCGAUGUAAGUGGUUUGAUACAUCUGGG
RNAcentral lists this long non-coding RNA (219 nucleotides) under Gossypium barbadense (sea-island cotton). RNAcentral describes it as "long non-coding RNA (GBAR_LNC012072)". Lineage: Eukaryota; Viridiplantae; Streptophyta; Magnoliopsida; Malvales; Malvaceae. The record is from RNAcentral.